AUGCCAAACUUCCUUUCAAUUUUUUUAGGCUCUAAUUCUAAUCCCCAUGACAAAGGCUCCAAAGAUCUUCACGCUAAGUUCCACUUUCCAUUUCUUUUACUCUGUUUUCAAGCUAUCUUCACGAUCAAACUCUACUCCAAUUCACUCUACAUCUUCAUUAUCCCUCCAAGAGAUCCAACUCAUUCAACAUUCAACUAG
Non-coding RNA from Vicia faba (fava bean), 198 nucleotides. The record is from the annotation of a GenBank genome assembly. Lineage: Eukaryota; Viridiplantae; Streptophyta; Magnoliopsida; Fabales; Fabaceae.